CCUACGGGAGGCAGCAGUAGGGAAUCUUCCACAAUGGGCGAAAGCCUGAUGGAGCAACGCCGCGUGGGUGAAGAAGGUCUUCGGAUCGUAAAACCCUGUUGUUAGAGAAGAAAGUGCGUGAGAGUAACUGUUCACGUUUCGACGGUAUCUAACCAGAAAGCCACGGCUAACUACGUGCAAGAAGCCGCGGUAAGACGUAGGUGGCCAGCGUUAUCCGGAUUUAUUGGGCGUAAAGGGAACGCAGGCGGUCUUUUAAGUCUGAUGUGAAGGCCUUCGGCUUAACCGGAGUAGUGCAUUGGAAACUGGGAGACUUGAGUGCAGAAGAGGAGAGUGGAACUCCAUGUGUAGCGGUGAAAUGCGUAGAUAUAUGGAAGAACACCAGUGGCGAAAGCGGCUCUCUGGUCUGUAACUGACGCUGAGGUUCGAAAGCGUGGGUAGCAAACAGGAUUAGAUACCCGAGUAGUC
This 465-nucleotide ribosomal RNA is filed under the name uncultured bacterium. Its description in RNAcentral is "partial 16S ribosomal RNA". It matches the Rfam family "Bacterial small subunit ribosomal RNA", at positions 338 to 795 of the family's 1533-position model. The record is from RNAcentral.